RNAcentral lists this long non-coding RNA (1022 nucleotides) under Sinocyclocheilus grahami. RNAcentral's name for it is "lncRNA (ENSSGRG00000030688.1)". The record is from RNAcentral. Lineage: Eukaryota; Metazoa; Chordata; Actinopteri; Cypriniformes; Cyprinidae.
CAACAAUUCACAGAGCACUUAUCUGAAGUUUUCCUGCCACUUUUAGUCCAAGAACCCCUUUUAUACCCAAUAUAGUAUGGUUGAUUUUGAUCAUAUUUUAAUGAUCAAAAUAUAAACUGCUCCAACAGAAUAAGACCACCUGUCAAGUAGCAUUGUGGAAGUUCUUGUAAAUUACAGCAUUUUAGCAUACCCCAAGCAAGUCUCAGUACAACUUGCAGCUCUCCAAAACCAGUCUCUGGCAAGGGUUCAUUUUCCCGUGGCUUUGUGAAGAAAGCAAUCGUCUGGGUAUCAUUUAACGUGUAAAAGCAGGACAUGGUAACGCUAACAAGGAGAAAGUAAAAAAAACCCUAAUCUUCUCACAGAUGAAACAUGAAGUGACAAUAUACCCCAGUAAAUAGAUACAAUUUAAAAUCACGUCUCGCACGCUUUAAUGCCCUUUGAAUGGAACAUACGCUCCUUUCGAACUGGAAUCAUGGCGGAAUAUCCAGUGAAGUCAACAAAGUGGGGUGGUCUAGGCAUAAAAGGGGUCUUGAUGGGGAAGAGGACUUUGUAUCUAGUAGAAUCCAUGCCCCCGUCACUCCACAGUAACUCCAGCAUUGGCUCAAUGUCAUAUGUGAUGUGGUACUGGUUAUUUACAACAUGACUCUACAACAGAAUAUAACCAUUAGGUUUAGCACAAGACUAAAAAGUUGUCAAAUUAAAGCGAGAAACCAAACCUUGUAGAAGCCAUCUGGUCCACCGAUUGGCAUUUUCAUUAUGAUUAGAUCAUCCACGAUGGUCAAAACGUAGCCUCUAGCCGCCAUUUGUAAAGAAUCUAUCUGCUUUCCAUCUAUUCCCAUGAACAUCUCAAGGAGAUUGGUUUCUCUAGAACUCAUUAGUGGAUUAAAACGGGGGAAGUUCCAGGUGAUCAUCUCAUCCGUAAAAGAAAGCCCACCUGUGAGUGAAGCAAUAUAUCAGGGUUCUGCCAUCGGUGUCUUGGAGACCCACUUACCUGCAGUUUAGCAACACCUGACUGAUUUGAG